AGUGAACGCUGGCGGCGUGGAUUAGGCAUGCAAGUCGUGCGAUCUCGCAAGAGAUAGCGGCAAAAGGGUGAGUAACGCGUAAGUAAUCUUCCUUCGAGACGGGGAUAGCACUGUGAAAACGGUGGUAAUACCCGAUGUUAUAAUGAAUCCGCAUGGAUUUAUUAUCAAAGACGGGGAUCCGCAAGGACCUGUCACUCAAAGAUGAGCUUGCGUACCAUCAGCUAGUUGGUAGGGUAACGGCCUACCAAGG
Molecule: ribosomal RNA, 250 nt
Filed under: uncultured bacterium
Lineage: Bacteria
Description: partial 16S ribosomal RNA
Rfam family: Bacterial small subunit ribosomal RNA
Source: RNAcentral